RNAcentral lists this long non-coding RNA (1598 nucleotides) under Prunus persica (peach). Its description in RNAcentral is "long non-coding RNA (PPER_LNC001359)". The record is from RNAcentral. Lineage: Eukaryota; Viridiplantae; Streptophyta; Magnoliopsida; Rosales; Rosaceae.
AAUUCCAGCCCAUUAUAAUCUACAAGUUUCUCCGUAUGUCAGCGACGCUUGAUAGACCAUAAGCACCAAAAGUAGGCAAAUACAUGAGAUCGUUUAGUUUAGGCAAGGUUUGUGUGCUUCAACAAAUUCAUCAAAGAAUUCUUCUUCAUAACCCAUUGUAAUACAAAGAUACUGACCAUUUUCCUUUAUCAUUGAAUCAACCCAAUAAAUUGAAUAAAAGAAGUCAAUACCACCACCUCCAUGUAUGUAUGCAUUUUGCUUGCUCAUCAGCAAAAACCGAUAGAUUUUGACAUCUGAUCUCGACGGCUGCACAGGCAACAACUACAUACGAAUUCAGCUCCAAAAAAUAAUGGUAACUUUUCUAACUCAAACUCUCUGGCGUUGGUCAUUGAGACCAAUUGUUGGUAUAAAUUGACACAUGUACAGAUGCACUCUACGUGUUUUAUGAAAUGACAAAGUGAGUUCUUGAGAUUUCGUUGAGUUAAUAAUUCUACCUAUUUUGAUCCCUUAAGCUUCCAAAAUCAUAGUUUUAGCUCCAAAUCCUUGCUAGGAAUGGUUGCCUAUAAAAUCUUCACUAAACACAUUAAACUUACCAAUUUCACAUGAAAAUAAUGCAAAUAGAGUAGAUUAUAUAUGAAAAAUAGGAAUCUAUCAUUUGCCUUGUGAUAGGUCUAGACAGUGAGUGAGGUAUACUAGGCAAAGAACCACACUAGCGCAAUGUCGAUGAGGAAAGAGAAUUGAGUUCUUAGAGGUGGGAAUUAGGAGAGACUAGCAAAGUGAGUUUAAGUGAAUUAAUAAUUAAAGGGUAUUUUAGGAAUAAUGGUGGGUGAAAAGAAAUGAUUAUUUUAGGAAUAAUGGUGGGUGGAAAGGAAGGAUUGUGUUUUCUCAAAUUUACAUGGUGAGUGAAAAAAUAGGACGAGAGAGUAGAAAUAGCAACACUCUUUUUUAUUGAGAGGUACGAUAAUAUACUAAACUCACACACACUACACAAAUACUAAGACUCGAACCCAAAACUUUACCUAAUUACUCAAAAUUAGUGUACAAGUGGAUCCUUUACAACAGCACUCUUAAACAAUCACAUUUUGGGAUUAGAUGCCCCAAUAAUUAAUAAUAAAAAAUAGAUGCCACCCACCUCAGCCCUAUUGGUCCUUAAACCUCAAUUGUUUUAUGGGUUGUAAAUAAUGUUUGUUUAGACAAGCAUGCAACAUUUUACGGGUCUUGUUCUAUGUCACCUACCUCCUCUGUAACAUAUCACAGUGUUAACAGCUGCUGAUCAGUUCACUUGGUGGACAGGACAGGACUUUUAUUUUAUUUUGAUACAAGUAAUAUUAAAAGAGAAAUCGAAUAUAGAACCUUGAAUGGAAGAAUAAUUUCUUUUAACUACUCAACUUGUAAGCCCCUUAAACAGGACAAAGCAUCUUAGCUUAUGCUUAUAUUCAGAUUCAACAAACAAUAUCAUCACAAACAAAAUAAAUUACUUUUACAGCAGACUAAUUGCGCUUAACAAGGACAUUCAAAUUUGCCAAGUUCUUAAUGCGAGCAAACCGAGGUGACUUGGAGAAUUCUUCAAGCUUGUCCGAAUAUCUCUUGAAAAGUUC